ACGAACGCUGGCGGCGUGCUUAACACAUGCAAGUCGAACGGAAAGGCCCUGCUUUUGUGGGGUGCUCGAGUGGCGAACGGGUGAGUAACACGUGAGUAACCUGCCCUUGACUUUGGGAUAACUUCAGGAAGCUGGGGCUAAUACCGGAUAGGAGCUCCUGCUGCAUGGUGGGGGUUGGAAAGUUUCGGCGGUUGGGGAUGGACUCGCGGCUUAUCAGCUUGUUGGUGGGGUAGUGGCUUACCAAGGCUUUGACGGGUAGCCGGCCUGAGAGGGUGACCGGCCACAUUGGGACUGAGAUACGGCCCAGACUCCUACGGGAGGCAGCAGUGGGGAAUAUUGCACAAUGGGCGGAAGCCUGAUGCAGCAACGCCGCGUGCGGGAUGACGGCCUUCGGGUUGUAAACCGCUUUCGCCUGUGACGAAGCGUGAGUGACGGUAAUGGGUAAAGAAGCACCGGCUAACUACGUGCCAACAGCCGCGGUGAUACGUACGGUGCGAGCGUUGUCCGGAUUUAUUGGGCGUAAAGGGCUCGUAGGUGGUUGAUCGCGUCGGACGUGUAAUCUUGGGGCUUAACCCUGAGCGUGCUUUCGAUACGGGUUGACCUUGAGGAACGUAGGGGAGAAUGGAAUUCCUGGUGGAGCGGUGGAAUGCGCAGAUAUCAGGAGGAACACCAGUGGCGAAGGCGGUUCUCUGGGCCUUUCCUGACGCUGAGGAGCGAAAGCGUGGGGAGCGAACAGGCUUAGAUACCCUGGUAGUCCACGCUGUAAACGGUGGGUACUAGGUGUGGGGUCCAUUCCACGGGUUCCGUGCCGUAGCUAACGCUUUAAGUACCCCGCCUGGGGAGUACGGCCGCAAGGCUAAAACUCAAAGGAAUUGACGGGGCCCCGCACAAGCGGCGGAGCAUGCGGAUUAAUUCGAUGCAACGCGUAGAACCUUACCUGGGUUUGACAUGGAUCGGGAGUGCUCAGAGAUGGGUGUGCCUCUUUUGGGGUCGGUUCACAGGUGGUGCAUGGCUGUCGUCAGCUCGUGUCGUGAGAUGUUGGGUUAAGUCCCGCAACGAGCGCAACCCUUGUUCACUGUUGCCAGCACGUUAUGGUGGGGACUCAGUGGAGACCGCCGGGGUCAACUCGGAGGAAGGUGGGGAUGACGUCAAGUCAUCAUGCCCCUUAUGUCCAGGGCUUCACGCAUGCUACAAUGGCUGGUACAGAGAGUGGCGAGCCUGUGAGGGUGAGCGAAUCUCGGAAAGCCGGUCUCAGUUCGGAUUGGGGUCUGCAACUCGACCUCAUGAAGUCGGAGUCGCUAGUAAUCGCAGAUCAGCAACGCUGCGGUGAAUACGUUCCCGGGGCUUGUACACACCGCCCGUCAAGUCAUGAAAGUUGGUAACACCCGAAGCCGGUGGCCUAACCGUUGUGGGGGAGCCGUCGAAGGUGGGACUGGU
This 1437-nucleotide ribosomal RNA is filed under the name uncultured organism. RNAcentral's name for it is "16S ribosomal RNA". It matches the Rfam family "Bacterial small subunit ribosomal RNA". The record is from RNAcentral.